This 272-nucleotide ribosomal RNA is filed under the name uncultured Staphylococcus sp. Its description in RNAcentral is "partial 16S ribosomal RNA". It matches the Rfam family "Bacterial small subunit ribosomal RNA", at positions 90 to 355 of the family's 1533-position model. The record is from RNAcentral. Lineage: Bacteria; Bacillati; Bacillota; Bacilli; Caryophanales; Staphylococcaceae.
CGUUAGCGGCGGACGGGUGAGUAACACGUGGGUAACCUACCUAUAAGACUGGGAUAACUUAGGGAAACCGGAGCUAAUACCGGAUAAUAUUUCGAACCGCAUGGUUCGAUAGUGAAAGAUGGUUUUGCUAUCACUUAUAGAUGGACCUGCGCCGUAUUAGCUAGUUGGUAAGGUAACGGCUUACCAAGGCGACGAUACGUAGCCGACCUGAGAGGGUGAUCGGCCACACUGGAACUGAGACACGGUCCAGACUCCUACGGGAGGCAGCAGCU